RNAcentral lists this ribosomal RNA (494 nucleotides) under uncultured bacterium. RNAcentral's name for it is "partial 16S ribosomal RNA". It matches the Rfam family "Bacterial small subunit ribosomal RNA", at positions 28 to 507 of the family's 1533-position model. The record is from RNAcentral.
GACGAACGCUGGCGGCGUGCUUAACACAUGCAAGUCGAACGGUGAAGCGCCUUCCUUUUUGGAGGGUGUGGAUGAGUGGCGAACGGGUGAGUAACACGUGAGUAACCUGCCCCCUUCUUCUGGAUAACCGCAUGAAAGUGUGGCUAAUACGGGAUAUUCUGGGUCUGUCGCAUGAUGGGUCUGGGAAAGAUAUUGUUUCGGUGGGGGAUGGGCUCGCGGCCUUUCAGCUUGUUGGUGGGGUGAUGGCCUACCAAGGCGGUGACGGGUAGCCGGCCUGAGAGGGUGGACGGUCACACUGGGACUGAGGCACCGCCCAGACUCCUACGGGAGGCAACAGUGGGGAAUAGUGCACAAUGGGCGUAAGCCUGAUGCAGCGACGCCGCGUGAGGGAUGGAGUCCUUCGGGUUGUGAACCUCUUUCGCCAGUGAAGCAGGCCUGCCUCGUUUGUGGGUGGGUUGACGGUAGCUGGAUAAGAAGCGACGGCUAACUACGUG